Long non-coding RNA from Rhineura floridana, 577 nucleotides. RefSeq lists it as uncharacterized. Lineage: Eukaryota; Metazoa; Chordata; Lepidosauria; Squamata; Rhineuridae. The transcript is spliced from 4 exons. The record is from RefSeq and is a predicted model, not a curated record.
CAUUAGCAGUGUGAUUUUCAGUUCCUUUCCUAAUGAAUUGUAGCAUGGAAUUUACCUUUUUCACAGCUGCCACACAGCAGGUCAAGAUCUUCCACUCAGCUUUGGACUGUGAGAUCCUGAGGUUCUAGAAAAAAAGCAAAGGCGAUCCAAUAAACCUGAAGUCUCCCCACUGUAUGAAUGCUUUACUCAGGAGUAAGGGCAGACUUCUACUGUGAUAAAGCAUUCACACAGCACAGGAUACGUGCCCAGCCGUGACCCCACUUACACCAGGAAAGCUCCAGAUGACCAUUGCUCACAUCUAGCUAUUAUGAUGUGUCAGGAUGGCUGUCACUGCCUCACAUGCAUCACAAAGCAGGUGCCAAAGACAAAGUCCAGCUGAGGACACAAGCUGAGUUAGUGCAAAGGAAAGCAGGAGGAGGAGAGAGAGAGAGAAAGAAAGAAGUCAAAGAGGGCACCAAGCCUGCUGUGGCCAGGCCUUGCCAGUGGGCUUCCCGCAGGCAUCUGACUGGGACACUGUGAGAACACUGGACAACAGCCCGGCCUGUAUUAUUAGCAUUCUUAAGACAAGAUGCUGAGC